This 233-nucleotide ribosomal RNA is filed under the name uncultured bacterium. RNAcentral describes it as "partial 16S ribosomal RNA". It matches the Rfam family "Bacterial small subunit ribosomal RNA", at positions 100 to 334 of the family's 1533-position model. The record is from RNAcentral.
CGGGACGGGUGAGUAUUGUCUGGGAAACUGCCUGAUGGAGGGGGAUAACUACUGGAAACGGUAGCUAAUACCGCAUAACGUCGCAAGACCAAAGAGGGGGACCUUAGGGCCUCUUGCCAUCGGAUGUGCCCAGAUGGGAUUAGCUAGUAGGUGGGGUAACGGCUCACCUAGGCGACGAUCCCUAGCUGGUCUGAGAGGAUGACCAGCCACACUGGAACUGAGACACGGUCCAG